This 678-nucleotide ribosomal RNA is filed under the name Saprolegnia sp. UNCW381. RNAcentral describes it as "eukaryotic LSU rRNA". It matches the Rfam family "Eukaryotic large subunit ribosomal RNA", at positions 49 to 629 of the family's 3401-position model. The record is from RNAcentral. Lineage: Eukaryota; Oomycota; Saprolegniomycetes; Saprolegniales; Saprolegniaceae.
AGCGGAGGAAAAGAAACUAACAAGGAUUCCCCCAGUAACGGCGAGUGAAGCGGGAAGAGCUCAAGCUUAAAAUCUCCAUACUUGUAUGGCGAAUUGUAGUCUAUUGAGGCUGUUGUCAGCAUCGCGAUCGGGGACAAGUCCCUUGGAAAAGGGCAGCAUGGAGGGUGAUACUCCCGUCUCUGCUCCGAUUUGCGGUGUGUACGAUACGCUUUCUUUGAGUCGAGUUGUUUGGGAAUACAGCUCAAAGUAGGUGGUAAAUUCCAUCUAAAGCUAAAUAUUGGUGCGAGACCGAUAGCGAACAAGUACCGUGAGGGAAAGAUGAAAAGAACUUUGAAAAGAGAGUUAAAGAGUACCUGAAACUGUUGAAAGGGAACCGUAUCGUUUCCAGUGUUUUAUCCUGUGCAUAUUUCAUUCGCGGAGCAAUUUGCGGGUGCCCUGUGCAUGGGUGUGACGUCAGAGUCAGUUUGUAUGCUGCGGGAGAUGGUCAGUGAGGAGGUGCGUCACUUCGGUGAAAGUUAUAUCUCGCUGUCUAGUAGCCGUGGUUGAGACUGAGGUGCCUACAACAUGCCUUGGGGUUUCGUGUUGUCUCGUGUUAAUAAUUGCUUUGAUAGCUUGCUAUGUCUGUGGUUUAUUGAUGCGAUUGAUGAUGCGGAUAACCUCUGCUGUUCGGGACUCUGG